This 253-nucleotide ribosomal RNA is filed under the name uncultured bacterium. RNAcentral's name for it is "partial 16S ribosomal RNA". It matches the Rfam family "Bacterial small subunit ribosomal RNA", at positions 524 to 776 of the family's 1533-position model. The record is from RNAcentral.
UACAGAGGAUGCCAGCGUUAUCCGGAAUGAUUGGGCGUAAAGCGUCUGUAGGUGGCUUUUUAAGUCCGCCGUCAAAUCCCAGGGCUCAACUCUGGACAGGCGGUGGAAACUCCCAAGCUGGAGUACGGUAGGGGCAGAGGGAAUUUCCGGCGGAGCGGUGAAAUGCGUAGAGAUCGGAAAGAACACCACCGGCGAAAGCACUCUGCUGGGCCGACACUGACACUGAGAGACGAAAGCUAGGGGAGCGAAUGGG